This 1013-nucleotide long non-coding RNA is filed under the name Taeniopygia guttata (zebra finch). RNAcentral's name for it is "lncRNA (ENSTGUG00000020183.1)". Lineage: Eukaryota; Metazoa; Chordata; Aves; Passeriformes; Estrildidae. The record is from RNAcentral.
UGAACCUAUAGUCACCUUGUCUCUGCUACAUGAGUUGGCAUUUACACUUCUCAUCUUUCCCCCAGGAGAUAUAGGCACCUGGCUCUGUGGCAAAGUGUGGAGAAAGGAAUCUAUUUAUCCAAUGCACAAGAUGGAGAAGCAAAGGUUCAUUGAACAGCAAAACCACCACCAGCUGGUUCUUCAGCAGAUCCUCCUAAGACUGAUAAAGCGAUUUUAUGUAAAACCUUAUUUCUUCAAAAUACCCUUUCAUGAGUACCAGAACAGUCUGAGGACUCACAUUCACAUAUCAACAAAACAGCUGCCCAUUAAAGGAAUACUGUUAUUUCUAGGUGAGAUUUUCAUUCCGCCCCACUGGUAAUACUGCAUUUUCCAGUAUGGAUCGGAACACACAUUCUGGUGCGUUUGAAGUCUUGAUCAGUCAAAGAUGUAGCUGUGACUUUCUAUGGACCAUUAGAGAACUCUCAAGUAAUUUUUUUCCAUGUGUGAUUGAUGUUUCAUAAUAAAUGGUUGCAAGAUUUUUGGAAUCAACAUGACAAAAAUACAGACAUAUUCUGGAUAUUCUUAAGCACACACAAAAUAAAAAACAAAGCAAGACCUUGGUAUCACAUCUGAUCUAGGUUAAAUUUUGGCAUAUAUAUGUUUGUCUCAAAAAUCAAUUUGCACCAUUUUUCAGAGAAUUGCAUACAUAGAACCUUUAAGCAAGUUUUUAUUUAAUAUGUAGUAGACAGUAGGUUGAAGUCCAUAACAGAUCCUUUAAUGUGAACUACUGAUGGACAGAUAAGGAGCUCUGUCACUGUAGACUGAUUGGUCUGAAUGCAAAUCAGCCUCUGCUCAGGGACAGCUGACAAGAACACUGGAGUCACAUCACCUUGGCACUCUGAGCUCAUUAAAGGACACUUCCAAAGCUAUAUGGUAGAAACACAGCAAGUACAAAAGAAAAUAUCUAUGAUACUGACUAUUCUGCUGACAUAUGGAUGAUAUCCCUAUUAGCCAUUGCACUGCAAAACUGCUGA